RNAcentral lists this ribosomal RNA (253 nucleotides) under uncultured bacterium. Its description in RNAcentral is "partial 16S ribosomal RNA". It matches the Rfam family "Bacterial small subunit ribosomal RNA", at positions 524 to 776 of the family's 1533-position model. The record is from RNAcentral.
UACAGGGGGGGCGAGCGUUGUUCGGAAUUACUGGGCGUAAAGUGUGCGCAGGCGGCCGCGCAAGUCGAGUGUGAAAUCCCCGAGCUUAACUUGGGAAUUGCGCUCGAAACUACGUGGCUGGAGUGUGGCAGAGGAAGGUGGAAUUCCACGUGUAGCGGUGAAAUGCGUAGAUAUGUGGAGGAACACCGAUGGCGAAGGCAGCCUUCUGGGCCAACACUGACGCUCAUGCACGAAAGCGUGGGGAGCAAACAGG